Long non-coding RNA from Zalophus californianus (California sea lion), 757 nucleotides. RefSeq lists it as uncharacterized. The record is from RefSeq and is a predicted model, not a curated record. Lineage: Eukaryota; Metazoa; Chordata; Mammalia; Carnivora; Otariidae. The transcript has 3 exons.
AAGAGCUGCUCAUUUCUCUAAAGUGGAUCUCAUUCUUUCCUACAUCAUAACAACACAUUCAUUUAGAAAUGAACCCAAAUGCUCCUCUCCAGUGAAAGCAAUUCCACAGUGACAUGAAUUUUGUUUACAAAUUAAAGCACCGGCUGGUGAUUGUUUGGAGCAGUUAUGAUUUACAACAGGUGCCCUGAUCAAUCAACCAAUCACUCUAAUUCAUGUGAGCGGAGGUCUUGCCUUGCCCCAGUUGUUUCAUUUCGGCAAGUAAUUGAUAACAAACUGCACUCAAGGUAUGUUUUAUGCAGAAGUUAAUAAGAGCUGACAGCUGGUUGCCACUGCUACCCAGGCGCAUUCAGUCUCACCAGCCUGUAUUUCUGUUUAAUUGUGUUUCAGUGUCAUCUGCACCUCAGGAAGAGGCGGGGCUCAGUGGAACCAGAAGGCUGGGAAUGAGGAACAAUGAAUGGUCAACCUCCCAAUUCGCUGGCAGUCUUACUCUCUUGGAGUUCUACACUGCUGAACUUCUGCAGGCUCUAGAAGCCACAGGGCAGCUUAUUCUCUCCACUACGGAUUCUGGCAUUCAGACCUCCAUGAUUGUUUAGAGACUGCUGAAACCCAGCUUAUCAAUAAACCCAGAGAGCAACAGGGCCCGGUUGAUUUGUUAGUAAUUAUGAGCACACUGUUCCUGCUCUUGGAACCCAGAGAUGACUAAGAUAGGUUUAAAGCGACAGCAGGAAAUGGUAAGGAAAUGGAGCAUAGCAAAACU